CGAUCGACAUAUACUGAGAAGCUAAGCAAUCGGACUUUCUAUCAUUAUGAGAGGCCAACCAUCAAGAGGUUAGACAGGAGCUUCGAGCAUUUUUCUCACAACAGAGAUUGCAAUGAUCUCCAUGUGCUAUGUGACUAGACGAAGUGAAGAAUGGUGGAAUGGUGACUAGACAGUGAUGAGAUGUUUGGAUGAUCAUUUGUAUUUGUAACUCAAGGAUUUACGUAGUUUCUGUU
Molecule: long non-coding RNA, 233 nt
Organism: Magnolia sinica
Lineage: Eukaryota; Viridiplantae; Streptophyta; Magnoliopsida; Magnoliales; Magnoliaceae
Exons: 3
Source: RefSeq, a predicted model, not a curated record